Molecule: ribosomal RNA, 253 nt
Filed under: uncultured bacterium
Lineage: Bacteria
Description: partial 16S ribosomal RNA
Rfam family: Bacterial small subunit ribosomal RNA
Source: RNAcentral
UACGUAGGGCGCAAGCGUUGUCCGGAAUUAUUGGGCGUAAAGAGCUCGUAGGUGGUUUGUCGCGUCUGCCGUGAAAGCCCGGGGCUUAACCCCGGGUCGGCAGUGGAUACGGGCAGGCUAGAGGUAGGUAGGGGAGAAUGGAAUUCCCGGUGUAGCGGUGAAAUGCGCAGAUAUCGGGAGGAACACCGGUGGCGAAGGCGGUUCUCUGGGCCUUACCUGACGCUGAGGAGCGAAAGCGUGGGGAGCGAACAGG